This 29-nucleotide small RNA is filed under the name Bombyx mori (domestic silkworm). Its description in RNAcentral is "ovarian small RNA-28533". The record is from RNAcentral. Lineage: Eukaryota; Metazoa; Arthropoda; Insecta; Lepidoptera; Bombycidae.
UCGCAAAGAACUUAAAUGGCUUCCUAUAC